This 497-nucleotide ribosomal RNA is filed under the name uncultured bacterium. Its description in RNAcentral is "partial 16S ribosomal RNA". It matches the Rfam family "Bacterial small subunit ribosomal RNA", at positions 28 to 507 of the family's 1533-position model. The record is from RNAcentral.
GAUGAACGCUGGCGGCGUGCCUAAUACAUGCAAGUCGAGCGAACAGACGAGGAGCUUGCUCCUCUGACGUUAGCGGCGGACGGGUGAGUAACACGUGGAUAACCUACCUAUAAGACUGGGAUAACUUCGGGAAACCGGAGCUAAUACCGGAUAAUAUAUUGAACCGCAUGGUUCAAUAGUGAAAGACGGUUUUGCUGUCACUUAUAGAUGGAUCCGCGCCGCAUUAGCUAGUUGGUAAGGUAACGGCCUACCAAGGCAACGAUGCGUAGCCGACCUGAGAGGCUGAUCGGCCAUACUGGAACUUAGACACGGUCCAGACUCUUACGGGAGGCAACAGGAGGGAUUCUUCCGCAAUGGGCGAAAGCCUGACGGAGCAACGCCGCGUGAGUUAUGAAGGUCUUCGGAUCGUAAAACUCUGUUAGUAGGGAAGAACAAAUGUGUAAGUAAAUAUUCACGUCUUGACGGUACCUAAUCAGAAAGCCACGGCUAACUACGUG